RNAcentral lists this unclassified non-coding RNA (311 nucleotides) under uncultured fungus. Its description in RNAcentral is "sequence contains ITS1". The stretch from base 1 to 106 matches the Rfam family "5.8S ribosomal RNA", at positions 50 to 154 of the family's 154-position model. The record is from RNAcentral. Lineage: Eukaryota; Fungi.
GAACUGCGAAAAGUAAUGUGACCUGCAAACUUUGUGAAACAUCCAGUCUUUGAACGCAAUUUGCACCUGGUGGCGCUUGCCAGCAGGUAUGCCUGUUUGAGAGUUUCUAACUAUUUCUACAAAGUAGGAGUUGGGUGAUGCUCGUUUGAGUCGCCUGAAAAUCAGGGUGCAUACGAUUUGCUGGAAUAAACUUGCAGCAAAUGAGCACAGCGUGAUUAUCGGGGUUGCAAUCUGCGUCGCAGUUGCGUGACUCCGACAACCACAAGUUCCGACGAUACCUCAAAUCAGGCAAGGAGACCCGCUGAAUUUAA